GAGUUUGAUCCUGGCUCAGGAUGAACGCUGGCGGCGUGCCUAAUGCAUGCAAGUCGAGCGACGCAUAUCCAGUCCGUAAGGACCGGGCAUGACGGAGCGGCGAACGGGUGAGUAACACGUGAGCAACCUGCCCCGCAGACCGGGAUAGCCCAGGGAAACCUGGAUUAAUACCGGAUCAUCUCGGUGGAUCGCAUGAUCUGCCGAGCAAAUGCUUUUGCGCUGUGGGAUGGGCUCGCGGCUUAUCAGCUAGUUGGUGGGGUAACGGCCCACCAAGGCAUUGACGAGUAGCUGGUCUGAGAGGACGAUCAGCCACACUGGGACUGAGACACGGCCCAGACUCCUACGGGAGGCAGCAGCAGGGAAUCUUGCGCAAUGGGCGAAAGCCUGACGCAGCAACGCCGCGUGGGGGAUGAAGGCCUUCGGGUUGUAAACCCCUUUCAGGAGGGAAGAAAUUGACGGUACCUCCAAAAGAAGCACCGGCCAACUACGUGCCAGCAGCCGCGGUAAUACAAGGG
RNAcentral lists this ribosomal RNA (515 nucleotides) under uncultured bacterium. Its description in RNAcentral is "bacterial SSU rRNA". It matches the Rfam family "Bacterial small subunit ribosomal RNA", at positions 9 to 531 of the family's 1533-position model. The record is from RNAcentral.